This 257-nucleotide ribosomal RNA is filed under the name uncultured bacterium. RNAcentral's name for it is "partial small subunit ribosomal RNA". It matches the Rfam family "Bacterial small subunit ribosomal RNA", at positions 26 to 285 of the family's 1533-position model. The record is from RNAcentral.
AGGACGAACGCUGGCGGCGUGCUUAACACAUGCAAGUCGAGCGGUGAUCCUUCUUCGGGAGGUGAUCAGCGGCGAACGGGUGAGUAACACGUGGGCAACCUGCCCCUCACACUGGGAUAACCUCGGGAAACCGGGGCUAAUACCGGAUACGACCUCGAGCGGCAUCUCUUGAGGUGGAAAGCUCCGACGGUGAGGGAUGGGCCCGCGGCCUAUCAGCUUGUUGGUGGGGUAAUGGCCUACCAAGGCGACGACGGGUA